This 1809-nucleotide long non-coding RNA is filed under the name Sus scrofa (pig). RNAcentral describes it as "lncRNA (ENSSSCG00000050325.1)". Lineage: Eukaryota; Metazoa; Chordata; Mammalia; Artiodactyla; Suidae. The record is from RNAcentral.
CAUCUCUCUGAGUAUGUUUCUCUACUUCCAAAGUAAAGUCAAAUUGAAUUGAUCUCUGAAGUCUUUUCCUAGCCUUGAUGUUCUGUGGUUUUAGUGCUAAUGAUAUAUUGUGUCUUGAGAGACAGAAGAGCCAUACAUUUUUUAAUGGCAUUAGAUCUAAUGUGGAAUUUAUGUCAGCAGUCUCUAAAGUCUUUAAGUAAUCCAAAAGUUCAGUACAAAAUAGUUUUAUCUCCAUUUACGACAUCAUUUUUAUGCCUUCUAUCUCAAUUCAAGAUAUUGUUUAAAAAUUAUUAUUCAAUUGAAUGCUUUCUCAUUUACAUAAUUAAUUGUAUUUCAACAAUACUUUUUAAAGAUAUUUUAAAAUGCAAAAUAAGGUAUUAGAUAUGCAUUAUGGUUAAUAAACUCUGUGAACCAACCUAAAUUUCUGAUGAUACAUUGAUUUGUGGAUAAAAACAGAUACUGAAUUUGGAAGUGAACAUUUGGAAGGCCAACACUUUGCAAGCUGGAGACUUCCUGUAAUGUUAAUUUCAGGAAAUCCUAGGCAAAUAUAUAGUUAUAACUCUAGAAAAUAUAUGAAUGGUGUGUACUGUGAUGGAAAUUAAAAUGUCACUGCUAAAAGAUUUGCAUUUUGUGGGCUUGGGGGGGCCUAAAACUUCCUUCUUGGUCUUUGUUUUCUGCAAUAGCAGUAUCAUUCAUUUUCAUACUCUUGAAGAAAAGCAGAUAAGAUUAAAGUCAUGGUGUGGAGAAAAUUUUGACAAAUGCUUUGCAAAAUAAUAAAGAGAACUUAAAGAGCAGUGACUUCUUUGACUGAGUAUAAGAUGAGCCAUAGUUAUAUAUUCCAGUUUGAAUUCUUCAUAGGGAGUUGUCUUUAUUUUCCUUUAAUGUAAAAUAUUGGGGUUUUACUUCUCUAAAAAAUAUUAAAGUGUCCCAGUCUUGAGUGAAGUUAUGAGAGGGCUCAUCUUUCUUUGUAAUACACCUGAAAACAUCUUCACUCUCUAACACCUUGCCUGACCUUUCUACUAGGAUUCAGCAUUUCCCCUAGGUGGUUGGCUAGCUAUUAUAUGUGAGUUUUAAAAUGUCCUUUUUAAAAGGUUUCAUUUUGCGUGCGUUUAACUCUUUGUUAAAUAGCUGUUUGGCGUCUUUUCUGCAUUUUCCCCCUCUUUAAUGAUAGGGAUUUUUUUUCUUUUGUCAGUUUCAUUUUCACUCUGGUUUUUAAUGAAAGACUCAGCAAAAUAGAGUCUCAGCAGAUAAGCACUUUUUGAUUGAUGGAAUUCACAUCUGUUGUGUUUCCCAAAUGUAUUUUGCUUGCAAUCUUUCAGCACUUUCAUUGUGAUCUUGUUGUGGCAGAUCAUGAUACUAUAGGCCUCUGGUUCAGAUCAGUAUUUUUCAGUAGCCAAAAAUAAUGGAAGAGUGUAAGGUUGUGACUAAAGCUGUUACUGACAAACAAAAAAUUCUUGGUAGAAGUGAUACUCUUCUUUUACUGUUGAUUCAAUAUGCAACUUCUGGCAAUUAGUUUCAUUUAGCUUUGCUUUCAUUUCUUCAUUUGUGAGAUGAAGCUUACAGAAGCUGUCUUUGGAUUUUAUGAGUAAUUCAAUUAUAAAAAUUUGCAAGUUGUAUUAUCUUAAUUAGAUCUUAAAUUGGAUGUUAGGGGUUAAAAACCCAACUAGUAUCCAUGAGGAUGCAAGGUCGAUCUCUGGUCUCACUCAGUGAGUUAAGGAUCCAGAGUUGCUGUGGCUGUGGUAUAGACCAACAGCUGCAGCUCCAACUUGACUCUUAGUCUGGGAACUUCCAUAUGCUGCAGGUGUGGCC